UCGACUGUCAAAUAUUCAACGGAUGUCUCACGCGCUGCGAAUGCGUAGCAUAUGUUUACAACCGCAUUCGCAGCGCGUGAGACGCUUGCGGGUUUACAGUUGUCUUUUUCAGUUGUUCAGUUGUUGUUUUCAGUUUACAUUUGUCUGCAUUGACAGUCGUCUAACUGCAAAAUGUCACGAAAUUAUAAACGAUAUUUGUCCGAUUUUUCUAUACCUGUGCCAAAAACUACAAGAUGGUACAGAAGUCAAUUGAGAACAGAGGAACGGCCAGCAAGUUCGACCGAGGAGAUUGAUUCAAGGCCUUCAUUUGAAGCUGAAUUCUCUGAUGACGGAGACCUUGAUGAUCAAAUGAAUACACAGUCUAUGAUUGACUCUUCAGAUGAAGCUGAAUUCCCCUGUGAUGAUCCACCAGACCAUGUUGAGCAAGUGUGUACACACACAAAACGCAAACACACCUAGUUGAAAUAGGGAGA
Long non-coding RNA from Gadus macrocephalus (Pacific cod), 473 nucleotides. RefSeq lists it as uncharacterized. The transcript is spliced from 3 exons. Lineage: Eukaryota; Metazoa; Chordata; Actinopteri; Gadiformes; Gadidae. The record is from RefSeq and is a predicted model, not a curated record.